Molecule: non-coding RNA, 689 nt
Organism: Salarias fasciatus (jewelled blenny)
Lineage: Eukaryota; Metazoa; Chordata; Actinopteri; Blenniiformes; Blenniidae
Source: the annotation of a RefSeq genome assembly
CAGUCCUCCAGUCUUCAGCUGUCAGGACUAUAAACUCUCCCAGAGCACUGGAGCAUGGAGCUGCUGAUGCAAAGUGUCUCUCUAUGGAAAUGCUCUGACUGACUCCAACAGGGACUUGAUCACUUUCAUCACUGACUUUCACUCUGGAUUCACACUUUUAGUGGAAUAUUGAAGGAAUGUGCUGGAUAUUUAAAGGUGAUACCCGGCCCACCCUGACGGUGCUGCCCCCCUCCAGAGAGGAGCUGCAGCAGGGGACGGCCACGCUCAUGUGCCUGGCCAACAAGGGCUUCCCCUCAGACUGGAGUCUGAGCUGGAGGGUGGAGGACAGCAGCAGCAGCAGCAGCAGCAGCAGCUGGGAGCAGAGCAGCAGCCCCGGGGUGCUGCAGAAGCUGGACGGCCUCUACAGCUGGAGCAGCACCCUGAGGCUCCCUGCAGACCAGUGGAGGAAGGUGGGCUCUGUGACCUGUGAGGCCACCCGGGGCUCCCAGACUCCCCUCAGAGAGACACUGAGGAGAGACCAGUGUUCCCAGUCCUGACCGGACUCACUGGGACUCUCUCACUCAUCUCACCUCUGUCACUCUCUCUCUCUCCCUUUUUCUAUCUUCACACCAAACUGACUUCAGCAAUAUUCCUCUUCUGCCUGCUGAUUUUCUUCAAGCUUUGACAAAAUAAACAUUGUUUUCACAUCA